RNAcentral lists this long non-coding RNA (1360 nucleotides) under Glycine max (soybean). RNAcentral describes it as "long non-coding RNA (GMAX_LNC000799)". Lineage: Eukaryota; Viridiplantae; Streptophyta; Magnoliopsida; Fabales; Fabaceae. The record is from RNAcentral.
CUAGUCUAGCAUGUCGUAAAUAAUAAGAAUCAAUCAAGAUAGCAGAAGAUGAAGCAAAUUCAUUAGCAAUCUCAGAAAUGUUGAGCAUAAAAAGUCCUUGGUCAUAAUACCCCUUACCCACAAAGACUAAUAGAUGACACAUGUAGCACAUCAUUCAAAGCCAAAGACUUUGUAUAUGUGAGCUUCAAAAGAACUUUCUCCAUUCUUAGAACUAGGGUAGUAUUGGAAUCACCAAGGUAGGCAUGCUAUUCUUCGUUCCUUACUAGAGUAUAGGAGGUAAAAGCCUUUAUGUUGUCAUAGAUAUGGCUGAUAGACCUAGAGUUACCACCCAUUUGCUCACAUUGGUCACAACAUAUGCCUAAGAAAUAACCACAACACUAAUAUCAUCCCUAUCUCCCUUAGCCAAGUUAGCUUUGGGCUUAAGAGGGUUGUCAUUUCUCACAGCACAUUGCCUACAUUGAGGCGCAUGAUGACCUGGUUUUCAACAAACAAAACAAAAGCCUUUUUUCUUAAAGGUUCAAUUAGUAACAUGUGAGUAGUUAUUAUUGUUAUUUUUGUUAUUGUGAUAAAGACGUCCAGUUGGUAUCUUCAAUGAUGAUGUGAGUGAUGAGGUUUGAGAAUGACAUCUGCUUGUGCAUGUGCUUCAGUUGCUUAUUGUAGUCUGUCCAUGAUUUUGGUAGUUUUUCGAUCAAUAGCUUAGUGAUGAAGUCGUCUAAAAGGUUGACAUUUUUUGCCUUCAAGUCCUCCAGUUGCUUAUGGUACUCAUUGAUUUGGACUCAGAUGUCCUUGUCAUCAGUCAUCCCCUACCGAUAGUAGUUUCCGAUGAUGAACUUCUUCCUCCCAUUAUCCUUAACGAUAUAUUUGAUGAUCAUUGAAUCCUAAAUGGCCUUGGCUCCCUUGAAGGAGCAAUCAACAUUAAACAACUCAUUAGAAAGAGUAGUAAUAAUGAUGUGAUGACAUACCUUGUUUGCAAAAGUUCAUUUCUCAAUGAGUCUGAUGUAAGCAACAGGAUGCGGUUUGGACUUUAUAAGCGUGAAAAUAACUCUGCUCAUGUCCAAAAUGUUGUAGGCACGCUCCUGCCACCUUCAGAAAUUUUGUCCUCUGAGAACCUCAAUUUUGGAGAUGUUUGGGAACAGUCUAGCAUAGUUGACUAGGGCAAAGACUGGUUCGAGAAUGUAGGACUCUUCAUCCUCCAUGUGGUCAGCCAAUAAAUCCUUAAGCAUUUAUAUGUGUAGUGCGCAAAUGCCCCUGAAUAUAACAGACCCUUCCUAUAUGAUGAACAGGGAACAAAAACUAGCAAGGAAAACAAAAGAGAGAGAACACAGAGAGAAAGGAAGACACAGAUGUUCUUCGUUUUGGU